AAAUCCUUUGGCUAAAACAAGACGAUAUAGACCAUAGAUGACUGCAAGAAUAGCAACAUCAGAGAUGAUGAUCUCUUUGCGCUCACGGUCUGAAUAGAGUGGACUGUGAGGAUCAUAGUGGGAAGUCCAUCUUUCGUACUUGUGGCCGGAUAUAUUGAACAUCAAGUAUAAAGGAAAACCAAUAAGGAGUGUGGUAAUCCAAACAAACACUCGGCCAGGUGGAUUGUUAAGGAUUUUGUAAUAGUUGCGGAUGUUGGACUUAAAUCUUGGGACAUACACCUCGUCAUUUUCAAGGGAUUGGGUGUUGGCAUGGUGACGACGAUGACUAAUUUUCCAAGAGAAGUAAGGGACGAGAAGAGAUGAAUGGACAACAAGGCCAACAAGGUCGUCGACCCAUUGGUAGUCACUAAAGGCAUGGUGGUCACACUCGUGGCCUACAACCCAAGCCCCAGUUAGGACACACCCUUGAACAGCAAUGUAAGCGGCCCAACCCAAGUAGUUAAGAGGACGGGGGAGGAG
Molecule: long non-coding RNA, 519 nt
Filed under: Panax ginseng (ginseng)
Lineage: Eukaryota; Viridiplantae; Streptophyta; Magnoliopsida; Apiales; Araliaceae
Description: long non-coding RNA (PGIN_LNC011659)
Source: RNAcentral